Pocillopora damicornis (cauliflower coral) is the source of this 1051-nucleotide long non-coding RNA. RefSeq lists it as uncharacterized. Lineage: Eukaryota; Metazoa; Cnidaria; Anthozoa; Scleractinia; Pocilloporidae. The record is from RefSeq and is a predicted model, not a curated record.
AAAAGCAAGACAUGUGUCACGCUAGGCCUUCACGUGAUCGAAUGCAGUCUCAGUUGACCAAUUAGAAGCAGCCUCGCCCGGGCGAUCUUUGGAACUGAGUACAGCGCUCAUUGCCGGAAAGAACGCCAAAGGAAUUUUAAGAACAUUCGUGACCUUGCUAAUGUUUCUCAAAAUAAGUCGAGGUGUUGUCUCUCACAAAACAAAUGUUUUCUUGGAUCGACUACAGUCAACAUCAAAUGUCUUCAAACGAGGAUCUGCACCAUAGUCCAACAGCUCCCUUACAAUGUCUGCAUGUCCCUUGUAUGAAGCCCAUACCAAAGGAGACCAACCUCCCUAUAGUGGAGAAUAUUUUGUUGGUCAUGGGAUUGUGACAGAGGUGUAAAGAUACGAUAGUACUCCAAAUACUGCAUUUCAUGCAAAAAAUCUGUCAAAGGAGAACUCCUAAAAGACUUUCCUCCAUCAAAUUUGAAACAGAGGUAUCUGCUUAAUUAAAAUAGUUUUGCCUUACAAAAUACAGAACAAUAUGAAAUAAAAAUUUUGCUAUGUAAAUUGUGUAGUGAUCAUACAAGGUAUAUCCAUAUACAUAGCACUUCUUCAGACCACUUAAGAAAGUUCUCACUGUUUUCAAUUUAAGAAGCACAAGUCAACUGCAAACAGUGUCUUCUGAGUAGGGAAACAGUUUGAAGAAUCAUAAAUUAUAAUAAUAAAGUGUGACUGAUCAAAAAAAAUAUGUUUAACUGAAAUAUGAAUUUGCACAUUGCAGAAAAAGAAAAGAAAUACUGUUUGUAUUGUUUUAUCAUGUCAUGGGGUACAUGCAUGUUGGAAACUUACCAAUUUACUGUUGAUCAACAUGGACUUUACACAACAGAAUUAUUAAAAUAGCUUAAUCAAGUUUUAAAAUGUUGUCAAGAAUCGAUGUUAGUGAUAGAAAUGUCUACCAGGAAUGCCAGACAAUUGUCGGGAGUGAGAUUCUGAGUGCAAAUCGUUUGAAAAUGCUCAUGUAAAGAUUCAAUUUUAUAGCAGCCCUGGUUAAAAAAAAAUUGACAUAUGA